AUUGAACGCUGGCGGCAGGCUUAACACAUGCAAGUCGAGCGGGGUGAUGGUGCUUGCACUAUCACUUAGCGGCGGACGGGUGAGUAGUGCUUAGGAAUCUGCCUAUUAGUGGGGGACAACAUCUCGAAAGGGAUGCUAAUACCGCAUACGUCCUACGGGAGAAAGCAGGGGAUCACUUGUGACCUUGCGCUAAUAGAUGAGCCUAAGUUGGAUUAGCUAGUUGGUGGGGUAAAGGCCUACCAAGGCGACGAUCGGUAGCGGGUCUGAGAGGAUGAUCCGCCACACUGGGACUGAGACACGGCCCAGACUCCUACGGGAGGCAGCAGUGGGGAAUAUUGGACAAUGGGGGGAACCCUGAUCCAGCCAUGCCGCGUGUGUGAAGAAGGCCUUAUGGUUGUAAAGCACUUUAAGCGAGGAGGAGGCUCUUUUGGUUAAUACCCAAGAUGAGUGGACGUUACUCGCAGAAUAAGCACCGGCUAACUCUGUGCCAGCCGCCGCCGUAA
This 503-nucleotide ribosomal RNA is filed under the name uncultured bacterium. Its description in RNAcentral is "partial 16S ribosomal RNA". It matches the Rfam family "Bacterial small subunit ribosomal RNA", at positions 30 to 523 of the family's 1533-position model. The record is from RNAcentral.